UCGAAACGAGCUUUCAUUUCUCCAGGGCGAAGAAGAAGUUUGAUGCGCUUCUCGGAUGCUUCAAUGGUAGUUUCGAAAUCACGAUUGGUUUCCUUCUACCCUUGUAAUUCAGCCAUGAUUGUUAGGGUUGGCCGAUCAUCUCCGCUUCCUGCCGGUUCUUUCGGCUUCCAUUUAGUGGCCGAAACAGGCUGGGCCACUUGCCGUCGAGCUAAGCAAUCUAUACGCUAACUUCAACGUUUCUGAGACUUUGAAAGUGCAGUAUACAUGCCGAUGGGAGAAUUGUAGCUAUACCAA
RNAcentral lists this long non-coding RNA (294 nucleotides) under Malus domestica (apple). Its description in RNAcentral is "long non-coding RNA (MDOM_LNC005659)". The record is from RNAcentral. Lineage: Eukaryota; Viridiplantae; Streptophyta; Magnoliopsida; Rosales; Rosaceae.